AAAUGGCAGCGAUCUGCAGCUCCAGUCCAGAUGAUCCAGUGAUCCGGAUUCUUCUGAAACGGUUCUGGAGAAAGCUCAUCUGUGGGGGCGAUUCACAAAAGACAAAAGAAGUAAAAUAAAAACAAACAAUGUAGAAACUCAAAGAAGAGACUGGAGAACUGAACUCUGGGAAGGCACUCCCUGUGAAAAACCCGAGUUUAUGAUAUUCACAGAUCACUGGAUUAACUGGGACGUGUGGAGGGAAUUACCACUUGAUUUGGUUGAUUUUGUUUGUUGGAGGCGACGGAGUUUCGGAUGGUUUCCUUCCUGCCCUCUUCUGCUGAAGGAGGAGCCUUUCUUUUGGCUGAACGGCUCAUAAUGAACUAGAUGUUUAUGCCUAGUCCUACAAUACAGCUCUUCAGAAUUCUGCUGUCACUUUUCCAUUUUGCCCAAGGACCCGCUUAAGGAAUAUUCAACAGUUUGAAAGUCUUUAGGGUCGAUCGGUAAAAGUCUUGAUUCUGACAGCAGCUCAUGAAUGCGUCGCAGUUUGAAGGGGGUGACCUGUGACGCCACCGUCAGCAGGACCGGCCGUGGCUCCGCCCACUGAGGGGCAGCAUUGGUUUUCAGCGGGAUUUCAGUCGCUUUGGAUAAAAGCGUCUGCUAAAUGCAUAAAUUAUUAUUAUUUAUUAUGUCAUCAAGUGACAUUUAGCUACCAGUUUUAGCUACUUUCAAUUGAAAGCAGUUGGCAGCGCUGAGCUCCGCACAGUUUAGCUCCAACUCUACUCAAACACACCUGAUCCAGCUAAUCAAGGUCUUCAGGAUUACUAGAAACUUCCAAACAGGUGUAAGUUGGAGCUGGAUGGAGCUAAACUUUGCAGAGCUGUGGCCUUCCAUAAUUGAGUUGGACACCACUGUGUUAGGUCAAAGUUUUGGCUGUGACUCAACCAGGUCCUUCCGGUAGGGAAUAUGGUUGAUGGAAC
This is a long non-coding RNA of Cyprinus carpio carpio, 959 nucleotides long. The record is from Ensembl. NCBI's taxonomy places the organism in Eukaryota, Metazoa, Chordata, Actinopteri, Cypriniformes, Cyprinidae.